RNAcentral lists this ribosomal RNA (192 nucleotides) under Triticum aestivum (bread wheat). RNAcentral describes it as "partial small subunit ribosomal RNA". Lineage: Eukaryota; Viridiplantae; Streptophyta; Magnoliopsida; Poales; Poaceae. The record is from RNAcentral.
AUUAAAGUUCCACUUCGGAUUAAAAUCUUUAUGUGGUUCGUUCACAAAGGAGCUAUUCUCACCAAAGAUAAUCUGACAAAGAGGAACUAGGUUGGUAAUACUAGAUGUUGCUUUUGUGAUCAAAAUGAAUCGAUUAAACACCUCUUUCUUGAGUGUCCUCUUACGAGCAUAAACACAUUAUUUGGGGCGUGA